GGAAUCUUCGGCAAUGGACGAAAGUCUGACCGAGCAACGCCGCGUGAGUGAAGAAGGUUUUCGGAUCGUAAAACUCUGUUGGUAGAGAAGAACGUUGGUGAGAGUGGAAAGCUCAUCAAGUGACGGUAACUACCCAGAAAGGGACGGCUAACUACGUGCCNG
This 162-nucleotide ribosomal RNA is filed under the name uncultured bacterium. Its description in RNAcentral is "partial 16S ribosomal RNA". It matches the Rfam family "Bacterial small subunit ribosomal RNA", at positions 358 to 511 of the family's 1533-position model. The record is from RNAcentral.